RNAcentral lists this ribosomal RNA (759 nucleotides) under uncultured bacterium. RNAcentral describes it as "bacterial SSU rRNA". It matches the Rfam family "Bacterial small subunit ribosomal RNA", at positions 1 to 753 of the family's 1533-position model. The record is from RNAcentral.
UAGAGUUUGAUCAUGGCUCAGAUUGAACGCUGGCGGCAGGCCUAACACAUGCAAGUCGGGUGGUAGCACAGGAGAGCUUGCUCUCUGGGUGACGAGCGGCGGACGGGUGAGUAAUGUCUGGGAAACUGCCUGAUGGAGGGGGAUAACUACUGGAAACGGUAGCUAAUACCGCAUAACGUCUACGGACCAAAGUGGGGGACCUUCGGGCCUCAUGCCAUCAGAUGUGCCCAGAUGGGAUUAGCUAGUAGGUGGGGUAAUGGCUCGCCUAGGCGACGAUCCCUAGCUGGUCUGAGAGGAUGACCAGCCACACUGGAACUGAGACACGGUCCAGACUCCUACGGGAGGCAGCAGUGGGGAAUAUUGCACAAUGGGCGCAAGCCUGAUGCAGCCAUGCCGCGUGUGUGAAGAAGGCCUUCGGGUUGUAAAGCACUUUCAGCGAGGAGGAAGGGUAGUGUGUUAAUAGCACAUUGCAUUGACGUUACUCGCAGAAGAAGCACCGGCUAACUCCGUGCCAGCAGCCGCGGUAAUACGGAGGGUGCAAGCGUUAAUCGGAAUUACUGGGCGUAAAGCGCACGCAGGCGGUUUGUUAAGUCAGAUGUGAAAUCCCCGCGCUUAACGUGGGAACUGCAUUUGAAACUGGCAAGCUAGAGUCUUGUAGAGGGGGGUAGAAUUCCAGGUGUAGCGGUGAAAUGCGUAGAGAUCUGGAGGAAUACCGGUGGCGAAGGCGGCCCCCUGGACAAAGACUACGUCAGUCAAGAG